GCCUCCUCCCCCGCCUGGAGCCUGGCGCAGCGGCCUGGGGGCCUCCCUGCGGACUGUGACCCGGCGACUGCGCCUCCGCCGCUCUCCGCCCCCAGCCCUCUCCCGCCAGCGCCCUCCCCGCCCCGCUUCCAGCACGGUCCCUAAAGGCGCGGACGACUCAAGCCGGCAGAGCCGAGCGUAGAGAUCCCCACCUCGCCCCACCGCCCCAGUUUACAGAUGGGUAGACCGAGGCCGGGAGCACCUCGUAACUCCGCAAGGCCACGGGCUAGACAGUGGCAGAGCCGACGUCUCCUGUACGCUCUCCACCCCCACCCCUCUAGAGGGAGUUUAUUUUAUUCCAAUCUAAAAGUUCCCCCCUCCGCCCCCAACCUACCACCCACCCCCAGAUCCGCCGGAAAAGUAAACUGUGGCUGGAGAGGAAUCUGGGGUGUGUGGGGAGCGGGGAGGCAGGGAGCGGGAAGGAUGGAUGUAAUCAGUGGGCCUGAACUUCAUUCCUGCCCACGGGCCAAGAGACCCUUCCCUGCAGAAGUUCCAAACUAGGGGUUCUUAGAACUAGCUUCCCCACUCCCACCUCAACCUUCCCUUAAAAAAAUAAAAAGGCUGGUUUCUUCCGGGCCAGAUCUUGGCCACUUAAAAUGGUCCACUGCCUUCUCUGCUCCCGCCAAGGCCUUUCCUGACUCGGGGCCAACCCUCCCGGUACGACAUGCCCCGGCAACCAAGUCCUGGCCUGGGAGCCCACCCUCAGCCCCACUUCCCAACCGCAGACUAAGGCCAAGAAAGAGGUUAUAUCAUGAACCCAUGACCUGACUCCAGACAAUGAUUUUGCCAUUCCAACUUCAGAGGAAGCUUUGGAAGGAGUUUAAACCAUAAGCUUACCCUCUCAAUCAUCCACUACCCCAAGGACAGAGGUGGGAAAACUCAAAGGCACAGGCUGUACUGAGAAGUUUGAGCAAUGGAGAAGAAAGUGGAGCUCUGACUGACCUUAGCCCACCACAGUCAGGCUCCAAGAGGGGAGAUGGCCUGGGCUGAUGGCUCCCUUUCCUCUGCUGGCCCUUCCCUUUUGGGAAAACCCCCAUGUCAGAAAAGUCUCAAGUCUGUCAGACUGGGAGUCCCCAACUCCCAACCCAAGGAAGCAGCCCUAGGAAAGGAGAGGAUGAGAUUUCCCAAAGCUAUCUCUUACCACUUCCCUCCCCCAAUCUCAUCCCUCCAUCUAUUGGUGAGAAGCCUCCUAAAGUUGGCCUGAGGCUCCUGAGGGACUGGUUCCACCGGAGUCUUUAACCAGGACCCUAUCCUCCUUGGGACCUGCAAUAGAGAUAAGAAUCAGAGUACAAUCCUCAAAUAAUUCCCACAAAUUUGGAGCUGAUUCUUAACUGAAAAGAAAGAAAGAAAGAAAGAAAGAAAGAAAGAAAGAAAGAAAGAAAGAAAGAAAGAAAGAAAGAAAGAAAGAAGAAAGAAAGAAAGAAAAAAGAAAGAAAGAAAGAAAGAAAGAAAGAAAGAAAGAAAGAAAGAAAGCUUUCUGUCCAGAGGAUUCUGCGCUCUGCAAGGAAGACACACCUUGUCUGAGGGUUAGCUUCAUCAGAAAGAGAACUAGGAGGAAUCUGUCUUCCAAGAUGACAUCAUCCAAGCUUGGACAUCAUCUAAGGAGGGGGAUUUAUUUUUGAUAUACAAGACUGAAAAUACUUAAAGCAUGACAUGUAAAAUUAUUGAAAAGAUACUAAGAUGUGAUGAAUUAAGCUUUCUUGAAGUCUUGAGUUGGAAGGAGUGGAGUGAGGGGCAAGUCAUGAAGCACAUAGCAGGACAUAAUUUAAACCAGAUGUCAGAGGUCACUGCUCCUAAAGCCAUUGGCUGGACUGACACAUGGAGAAGAUGCUUCCAGCCAUUCUCUUCUCAGCCUUGCCCAUCCCAGACUCUAUCAGCUCUCUUUCUCAAAUCCCAGGGUUACCCCCAAGGCUGCCUUUCUUGUUUUUUUUUUUUUUUAACUUUUAUUUUAGGGUCAGGAGUCCAUGUGCAGGUUUAUUACCUUGUGUCACAGGGGUUUGGUGUACAGAUUAUUUCAUCAUCCACGUACUAAGCUUAGUAUCCACUAGUUGUUUUUCCUGAUUCCCUCCUUCCUUCCACCCUUCACCCUCAAGUAGGCCCCAGUGUCUGUUCUCCUCUGUGUGUCCAUGUCCAUCAUUUAGCUGGUCUCAAACUCCAAACUGAGAACAUGUGGUAUUUGGUUUUCUGUUCUUGCAUUAGUUUGCUAAGGAUAAUAGCCUCCAGCUUCAUCCAUGUUCCUGCAAAGGGCAUGAUCUCAUUCUUUUUUAUGGCUGCAUAGUAUUCCAUGGUGCAUAUGUAUCACAUUUUCUUUAUUCUGUCUGUCACUGAUGGGCAUUUAGGUUGAUUCCACGUUUUUGCUAUUGUGAAUAGUGCUGCAAUGAACAUAGGCAUGCAUAUGUCUUUAUGAUAGAAUGAUUUAUAUUCUUUUGGAUAUAUACCCAGUAAUGGGAUUGGUGGGUUGAAUGGUACCUCUGUUUUUAUGUCUUUGAGGAAUUGGCACACCGCUUUCCACAAUGGCAGAAGUAAUUUACACUCCCACCAACAGUGUUAAGCAUUCCCUUUUCUCCGCAACCUCACCAGCAUC
This is a long non-coding RNA of Homo sapiens (human), 2623 nucleotides long. RefSeq lists it as uncharacterized. The record is from RefSeq and is a predicted model, not a curated record. Lineage: Eukaryota; Metazoa; Chordata; Mammalia; Primates; Hominidae. The transcript is spliced from 3 exons.